UACGUAGGGGGCAAGCGUUGUCCGGAAUCAUUGGGCGUAAAGAGCGUGUAGGCGGCCCGGUAAGUCCGCUGUGAAAGUCAAGGGCUCAACCCUUGGAUGCCGGCGGAUACUGUCGGGCUAGAGUCCGGAAGAGGCGAGUGGAAUUCCUGGUGUAGCGGUGAAAUGCGCAGAUAUCAGGAGGAACACCUACGGCGAAGGCAGCUCGCUGGGACGGUACUGACGCUGAGACGCGAAAGCGUGGGGAGCAAACAG
This 252-nucleotide ribosomal RNA is filed under the name uncultured prokaryote. RNAcentral's name for it is "partial 16S ribosomal RNA". It matches the Rfam family "Bacterial small subunit ribosomal RNA", at positions 524 to 775 of the family's 1533-position model. The record is from RNAcentral.